This is a non-coding RNA of Vibrio sp., 120 nucleotides long. Lineage: Bacteria; Pseudomonadati; Pseudomonadota; Gammaproteobacteria; Vibrionales; Vibrionaceae. The record is from Rfam.
CGUGUCGGCUGAAUCAGAGAUUGGCUGGCACAAACACUAACCUACUCUUAUUAGGAGAGAAUUAUGUCUCUGAAUGCAGAAACUAAAGCAGCAAUCGUUGCUGAUUACGCACGUGGCGAA